GGAAGCUAAACUUGGCCGGUGCUGGGCCUGGUCUUCAAAACCAGUGUGCGACGCCUCGCGUGGCAGGUGGGUUCGACCCCCACUAGCUUCCGCCA
This 95-nucleotide transfer RNA is filed under the name Terriglobia bacterium. Its description in RNAcentral is "tRNA-Sec". It matches the Rfam family "Selenocysteine transfer RNA". Lineage: Bacteria; Pseudomonadati; Acidobacteriota; Terriglobia. The record is from RNAcentral.